Molecule: ribosomal RNA, 588 nt
Filed under: uncultured bacterium
Lineage: Bacteria
Description: partial 16S ribosomal RNA
Rfam family: Bacterial small subunit ribosomal RNA
Source: RNAcentral
UGGGGAAUAUUGGACAAUGGGCGCAAGCCUGAUCCAGCAAUGCCGCGUGUGUGAAGAAGGCCUUCGGGUUGUAAGGCACUUUUAUCAGGAGCGAAACGCUGUCGGCUAAUACCCGGCGGAACUGACGGUACCUGAGGAAUAAGCACCGGCUAACUUCGUGCCAGCAGCCGCGGUAAUACGAAGGGUGCAAGCGUUAAUCGGAAUUACUGGGCGUAAAGCGUGCGUAGGCGGUUUCUUAAGUCUGCUGUGAAAUCCCCGGGCUCAACCUGGGAAUGGCAGUGGAUACUGGGAGGCUAGAGUGUGUCAGAGGGUGGUGGAAUUCCCGGUGUAGCGGUGAAAUGCGUAGAGAUCGGGAGGAACAUCAGUGGCGAAGGCGGCCACCUGGGACAACACUGACGCUGAGGCACGAAAGCGUGGGGAGCAAACAGGAUUAGAUACCCUGGUAGUCCACGCCCUAAACGAUGCGAACUGGAUGUUGGUCUCAACUCGGAGAUCAGUGUCGAAGCUAACGCGUUAAGUUCGCCGCCUGGGGAGUACGGUCGCAAGACUGAAACUCAAAUGAAUUGACGGGGUCAUAGCUGUUUCCUG